AACCAUCAAGUUUGGGACGUUUAUUUUGGUUACGAAUUGCAUCAUUCAAUUAAACCAUCAUUACAUUCAUAUACAAGACAUACCACUUAGGUCUCAAAGGAGAAAUACAUAAGCUGACUUGAAAUGCCAAUUUAUGACAUUAAUAUUGAAAGUUUAAGCUUGGGUUUAAUUUAGAUCAAGAAAUUUCCCAAACUAGAGGGUUAACAUUUGGAUCAAUGAGAAAUUCUGAAUGCAGGAUUAUAGACUUGAUCAUAAUGUUGAUUGAUUCAGCAUUAACGUGCCAUUUCAUAUUACAGAAAUACACUAACUAUAAAGAUACUGAAAGAGACAAAAAAAA
Molecule: long non-coding RNA, 337 nt
Organism: Sinocyclocheilus anshuiensis
Lineage: Eukaryota; Metazoa; Chordata; Actinopteri; Cypriniformes; Cyprinidae
Exons: 3
Source: RefSeq, a predicted model, not a curated record